GCCCUUAGAGUUUGAUCCUGGCUCAGAUUGAACGCUGGCGGCAUGCCUUACACAUGCAAGUCGAACGGUAACAGGUCUUCGGAUGCUGACGAGUGGCGAACGGGUGAGUAAUACAUCGGAACGUGCCCGAUCGUGGGGGAUAACGAGGCGAAAGCUUUGCUAAUACCGCAUACGAUCUACGGAUGAAAGCGGGGGAUCUUCGGACCUCGCGCGGACGGAGCGGCCGAUGGCAGAUUAGGUAGUUGGUGGGAUAAAAGCUUACCAAGCCGACGAUCUGUAGCUGGUCUGAGAGGAUGAUCAGCCACACUGGGACUGAGACACGGCCCAGACUCCUACGGGAGGCAGCAGUGGGGAAUUUUGGACAAUGGGCGAAAGCCUGAUCCAGCCAUGCCGCGUGCAGGAUGAAGGCCUUCGGGUUGUAAACUGCUUUUGUACGGAACGAAAAGCCUCUUUCUAAUAAAGAGGGGUCAUGACGGUACCGUAAGAAUAAGCACCGGCUAACUACGUGCCAGCAGCCGCGGUAAUACGUAGGGUGCAAGCGUUAAUCGGAAUUACUGGGCGUAAAGCGUGCGCAGGCGGUUUUGUAAGAC
This 590-nucleotide ribosomal RNA is filed under the name uncultured bacterium. RNAcentral describes it as "bacterial SSU rRNA". It matches the Rfam family "Bacterial small subunit ribosomal RNA", at positions 1 to 589 of the family's 1533-position model. The record is from RNAcentral.